AAUUUCAUAUGGCUUACCUUACAAAUACCCUCAUGAAUUAGAAGCCAAACAGAAAAUCCUUCUAGUUUUAGCUCCUUUGGCAUUUAUUUCUAUGAUCUUUUACUCUGUUCCAUAAUUCACUAUACAUAGAAUGAUAAGCCUGGAUAACAUGGUGAAACCC
Molecule: long non-coding RNA, 160 nt
Organism: Sapajus apella (tufted capuchin)
Lineage: Eukaryota; Metazoa; Chordata; Mammalia; Primates; Cebidae
Exons: 3
Source: RefSeq, a predicted model, not a curated record